This 843-nucleotide ribosomal RNA is filed under the name Bacillus sp. 471P3B. RNAcentral describes it as "bacterial SSU rRNA". It matches the Rfam family "Bacterial small subunit ribosomal RNA", at positions 71 to 896 of the family's 1533-position model. Lineage: Bacteria; Bacillati; Bacillota; Bacilli; Caryophanales; Bacillaceae. The record is from RNAcentral.
GAAGGGAGCUUGCUCCCGGAUGUUAGCGGCGGACGGGUGAGUAACACGUGGGUAACCUGCCUGUAAGACUGGGAUAACUCCGGGAAACCGGAGCUAAUACCGGAUAGUUCCUUGAACCGCAUGGUUCAAGGAUGAAAGACGGUUUCGGCUGUCACUUACAGAUGGACCCGCGGCGCAUUAGCUAGUUGGUGGGGUAAUGGCUCACCAAGGCGACGAUGCGUAGCCGACCUGAGAGGGUGAUCGGCCACACUGGGACUGAGACACGGCCCAGACUCCUACGGGAGGCAGCAGUAGGGAAUCUUCCGCAAUGGACGAAAGUCUGACGGAGCAACGCCGCGUGAGUGAUGAAGGUUUUCGGAUCGUAAAGCUCUGUUGUUAGGGAAGAACAAGUGCGAGAGUAACUGCUCGCACCUUGACGGUACCUAACCAGAAAGCCACGGCUAACUACGUGCCAGCAGCCGCGGUAAUACGUAGGUGGCAAGCGUUGUCCGGAAUUAUUGGGCGUAAAGGGCUCGCAGGCGGUUUCUUAAGUCUGAUGUGAAAGCCCCCGGCUCAACCGGGGAGGGUCAUUGGAAACUGGGAAACUUGAGUGCAGAAGAGGAGAGUGGAAUUCCACGUGUAGCGGUGAAAUGCGUAGAGAUGUGGAGGAACACCAGUGGCGAAGGCGACUCUCUGGUCUGUAACUGACGCUGAGGAGCGAAAGCGUGGGGAGCGAACAGGAUUAGAUACCCUGGUAGUCCACGCCGUAAACGAUGAGUGCUAAGUGUUAGGGGGUUUCCGCCCCUUAGUGCUGCAGCUAACGCAUUAAGCACUCCGCCUGGGGGAGUACGGUCCGCAAGACUG